CCCUAUCAAUCUACUCGCUCAAUCACGCUUCCUACAGUAAAUCUGAAACCCGAAUUCAUUUUCAAAUCACAUCAGCUCUCGCUGUAACACUCAUCUUCGAAGUAACAUGGAUGAAGCCAAUUUCCACAUAGACGAUAUCUGUAUGUAUGUAGAUAAUUUGAUGGAAACGAAUUGGAUGGAAGGAUUAUAAGUAUGAGCUCUAUCAGUGUUUUAAAGGGUUCAAGUCGACAGAAGAGGAACGCAAGUAUCCGUAUGGACAUGUCACACAAGAAGAUUGGAGUUGGUUAUGCACGUUCUUUGAAAAUAAGUACUCUGAGAAGCGGCCUAAGAAGGACCCUGUUUCUCGAGCACAGCUCCCAUAUAAGCAUUGGGCAUGGUUAAAAUCUUCUUUAUGCCACAAUGAUGAUGAUGACGAUGAUGAGGAGGAGCUAUUUCAUAUCACACAUCUUCCAGCUGCAUCAAAUCCACCGACAGAGGAGUUGCACAAAGAGAUGGACGAGCAAUGGUUAAUAAUCAAUUGGCAGGUGCAGAUAUGAUCAAUCUGUCCUGCAGGAUCAGCAAGAACAAUUGAGGCGGUUAGAGGAGUGGGUCUUCAAUGAGACAAUGUUACUCUGGAUCAGGAAGCAAAAGUUUGGAAUCGAGAAGAACGAUUGAGGCAGUUGGAGGAACGAAUCUUCGCUGGACAUGAAAACGAAAACAAUGUAUCUGAUCCUGGAUCCUCUUCUAACAUGCCUGGCCUUAAUUAGCCACAGAUCCACUUCUAAUUGUUCUUGAUAUAUGGCAUCAAGAGACUUGCAUAUUCCUCGUAACAGCCUAUCUGACACACUAUUUGAACUUUAAUCUAUAUACUUUCUUUUUCCUUUACUCGUUUUCUAAUUUUUCCUAUUCUAUAAAUCAAUUUUCUCGCACCAACAAGGACCUGCAAUGGUUUGCUUUUGCUGCAUGAAAGACCACCACUAUUGAUAGCCCACAACUCUCACUUUUGUUGGGAUCUACUGUAUCUCCAUUUCUUGAUUCCAGGUUUUCCUAGAACUCCAUCUUUUCUUCUUUCUCUUCUACACAAAGAACCAAGUAAACCCAGAUGCAUUUACUGCAAAUCUCACUAACAAAGAGUAAUGCUAUUUUUCGCUAGCAGAUUAUUAAAAAUAUUUAGUGGCACUUGUUUGUCAUUCUCCAUAAUUUAUUUUGAGAUACUUUGAGAGAA
This is a long non-coding RNA of Pistacia vera, 1204 nucleotides long. RefSeq lists it as uncharacterized. The transcript has 4 exons. NCBI's taxonomy places the organism in Eukaryota, Viridiplantae, Streptophyta, Magnoliopsida, Sapindales, Anacardiaceae. The record is from RefSeq and is a predicted model, not a curated record.